GCGUCUUGCCCUUCCUGGGCGUUUCCUCCCUAUAGACUUUCAUGCCGCGCCUCCGGGCGCGGCUUUUUUUUGGCUGAU
RNAcentral lists this small RNA (78 nucleotides) under Brevundimonas aurantiaca. Its description in RNAcentral is "suhB". It matches the Rfam family "Makes More Granules Regulator RNA (mmgR)". Rfam says of the family: SuhB later renamed mmgR (makes more granules regulator) was a putative non-coding RNA found multiple times in the Agrobacterium tumefaciens genome and related alpha-proteobacteria. Other non-coding RNAs uncovered in the same analysis include: speF, ybhL, metA, and serC. Several studies inSinorhizobium meliloti showed that suhB element is indeed a non-coding RNA:firstly it was detected on Northern blot and called Sm8RNA, secondly in an RNAseq study referred to as SmelC689. Lineage: Bacteria; Pseudomonadati; Pseudomonadota; Alphaproteobacteria; Caulobacterales; Caulobacteraceae. The record is from RNAcentral.